GAUGAACGCUGGCGGCGUGCCUAAUACAUGCAAGUCGAGCGAACAGACGAGGAGCUUGCUCCUCUGACGUUAGCGGCGGACGGGUGAGUAACACGUGGAUAACCUACCUAUAAGACUGGGAUAACUUCGGGAAACCGGAGCUAAUACCGGAUAAUAUAUUGAACCGCAUGGUUCAAUAGUGAAAGACGGUUUUGCUGUCACUUAUAGAUGGAUCCGCGCCGCAUUAGCUAGUUGGUAAGGUAACGGCUUACCAAGGCAACGAUGCGUAGCCGACCUGAGAGGGGGGUCGGCCACACUAGAACGGAGACACGGUCCAGACUCCUACGGGAGGCAGCAGUAGAGAAUCUUCCGCAGUGGGCGAAAGCCUGACGGAGCAACGCCGCGUGAGUGAUGAAGGUCUUCGGAUCGUAAAACUCUGUUAUUAGGGAAGAACAAAUGUGUAAGUAACUAUGCACGUCUUGACGGUACCUAAUCAGAAAGCCACGGCUAACUACGUG
Molecule: ribosomal RNA, 497 nt
Filed under: uncultured bacterium
Lineage: Bacteria
Description: partial 16S ribosomal RNA
Rfam family: Bacterial small subunit ribosomal RNA
Source: RNAcentral